This 522-nucleotide long non-coding RNA is filed under the name Callithrix jacchus (white-tufted-ear marmoset). Its description in RNAcentral is "lncRNA (ENSCJAG00000079519.1)". The record is from RNAcentral. Lineage: Eukaryota; Metazoa; Chordata; Mammalia; Primates; Cebidae.
AUAUGUUGCUUAAAGUAUUAAUAUUUAUUGGCAAUUUAUAUCACAAUAUUUCUAUGUUUUAAUUUAGCAACAAAAAUUUAAGCUUAUAUUUUCAUAUAGACAUAUUUCUGCCUCAAGUAUAAUUUUUAAAAUAUUAUUAUUAAUUUUGCUCUAUCACCCAGGCUGGAAUGCAGUGGCAGGAUCUUGGCUCAUUGUAACCUCUGCCCUCAAGCUCCAACAGCACUCCCACCUCAGCUUCCCAAGUAGUUGGGACCACAGUGUUUCAUCAUUAGAUGUGCCUGUGUGCAUGGGAUUGCUGCUGAGAAUCCAGAAUCACCGGAACAGAACAGGAAGUUAAGAAAGUGAGAGUUUAUCAAUAUGUGAGUAUCAUCCUAGGAAACAAAAUUUAAUGCAUCUACCCUGUGAGAUCAUACUAAUUCUCUUCUAGAAUAGCUUUUGAAACAUGAAAAAUUUUCUGACUACAAAUAAAUUAAGUAGAAAUUUUAGAGUUUCCAGGAAGACGGUGGGGGAAAAAAAGCAUCA